This 305-nucleotide ribosomal RNA is filed under the name uncultured bacterium. RNAcentral's name for it is "bacterial SSU rRNA". It matches the Rfam family "Bacterial small subunit ribosomal RNA", at positions 338 to 661 of the family's 1533-position model. The record is from RNAcentral.
CCUACGGGGGCAGCAGUGGGGAAUAUUGCACAAUGGGGGGAACCCUGAUGCAGCGACGCCGCGUGGGUGAGGAAGUACUUCGGUAUGUAAAGCCCUAUCAGCAGGGAAGAAAAUGACGGUACCUGACUAAGAAGCCCCGGCUAACUAAGUGCCAGCAGCCGCGGUAAUACGUAGGGGGCAAGCGUUAUCCGGAUUUACUGGGUGUAAAGGGAGCGUAGACGGCAGCGCAAGUCUGAAGUGAAAUGCCGGGGCUUAACCCCGGAACUGCUUUGGAAACUGGGCAGCUAGAGUGCAGGAGAGGGAAG